Molecule: long non-coding RNA, 1670 nt
Organism: Salvelinus namaycush (lake trout)
Lineage: Eukaryota; Metazoa; Chordata; Actinopteri; Salmoniformes; Salmonidae
Exons: 5
Source: RefSeq, a predicted model, not a curated record
GAUUGAGGUAUUUCACAAUAAUCGUUCAUUGAACCAUCUCUCACUCUUGUUGGUGUUAUCGUGCGUGUAUCUGUGGUUGCGUGCUGCCUGUGCCCUCGGUCGAUCCAAAGCAAAUUCUCCAUCAACUGCAGUUUCUCUUCAGGAUGUCAGGCAGAAGAGUAGUGGUGUUCUCUUCAGCAGCAGAGCUUGGUCCAGCUCUGGCUCACCUGGUAGCAUUUCGGGCUGACAAGGCCCUGUUGGACCAUGGCCGGUUCUCCCUGGGCCUCUCAGGGGGCAGCCUGGAAGGAGCAAGGAGGUGCCUGCCCUGCCAGACCUGGACUGCAGCCACUGGCUAGCAGGUUUCUGUGAUGAGAGGCUGGUUCCCUUUGACGAUGGAGAGAGUACCUAUGGACUGUACAAGAAUCGGUUGUUCUCCUAAAUCAACAUCCCAGACAGUGGGGUCCUGACGAUUGACCCCUCUUUAUCUGUACAGGAGUGUGCUGAGGAUUAUGCCCGCAAACUGAAGGAGUGUGAAGGGAACCCGUGCAGAUACUUUGUGCGACCGCGUGGGAGCGAAGUGUUGCAUCUCGCUCAUCUCAAUACCUCCAGUGCUGCUUGUGGCAACGUCAUUUCACUGAGUCCUGAAAGGAGGAUAUCUCUGUGUUUGAUCUGUUGCUGCUGGACAUGGGGCCUGAUGGACACACCUGUUCUCUCCUCCCAGACCAUCCCCUGCUGUAGGAAACCUAGAAAAUUGUGGCCCCAAUCGGUGACUCGCCCAAGCCCCCACCACAACGUGUGACCAUGACAUUUCCCAUGGUGAACUUAGCCCACUGUGUGGUCUUUGUGUCAACAGGGGGCAGCAAAGCACCAGUGCUAAAGGUACUGUAUCCUAUCCUCCAAACUGGCAUCCUCUCUGACGCAAUAAUAUCUCACCCUGAUCCUAACCUAUUAAGCAUCAAGAAAUGUCACUAUGAAGACUUGAUUCAGGUUAUUUGUAUUUAUGUUUACCUGUAAUUUACUGUUUAAAAAAAUAUAUAUCACAAAAAUAGAUCUCACUGUAAAACAGUAAUGCAUUGAGAGCAUUUCUGUGGUUGUUGUUAACACUACGAGAAGUGAGCUUUUCCUUUCAAGUGCUGGAGGGUGGUGAAGGCCCGGCCCUACCUGCAGCCAGAGUGGUCCCCAGCCACGGUGAGCUGUUCUGGCUCACAGAUGAACCGGCCACUGCUUCCUUGACACUCCAAAUGGAGAGACCAGGCUCUGCAGCAAAACUCUACAGACCAAAGAGAAGGACAAAAAGGAGCUCAAAAACUCAACACCCACAGAGAAAAAUGUACAGGAUAUCAUUGAACAAUCCUGUUCCUAUUUGACAGUGUUAUGUUUUAGGCAUGAGAUUAAACCCUACCUAUCAGGGAAAUGGGAUUUAAGUGAAUUAAUGAAUGAAUAGGAAAAACAUUGGAUUGUUUACACAUCAGUUGUAGAACGGUGCUGAAUGUAUGUAUAAUGAUGGGGAAACCAUUUGAAGUAGUUGCUGCAUGAUUCAUUCCAGAGGAAACGGUGUAAUGUCAUAAUAAUACAAAUAGUUUUACGGUUAAAGUUUCAGGGUUCUUUAGUGUGUACUAUACCUCUCUCAUCAUUACUCAAUGCCUAGGUUUACCUCCAAUGUACUCACAUCCUACCUUACCUUUGUCUGU